UACGAAGGGUGCAAGCGUUAAUCGGAAUUACUGGGCGUAAAGGGUGCGUAGGCGGUGAGUUAAGUCUGUUGUGAAAUCCCCGGGCUCAACCUGGGAAUGGCAAUGGAUACUGGCUCGCUAGAGUGUGUCAGAGGAUGGUGGAAUUUCCGGUGUAGCGGUGAAAUGCGUAGAGAUCGGAAGGAACAUCAGUGGCGAAGGCGGCCAUCUGGGACAACACUGACGCUGAAGCACGAAAGCUAGGGGAGCAAACAGG
This 253-nucleotide ribosomal RNA is filed under the name uncultured bacterium. RNAcentral describes it as "partial 16S ribosomal RNA". It matches the Rfam family "Bacterial small subunit ribosomal RNA", at positions 524 to 776 of the family's 1533-position model. The record is from RNAcentral.